Long non-coding RNA from Equus caballus (horse), 1035 nucleotides. The record is from Ensembl. Lineage: Eukaryota; Metazoa; Chordata; Mammalia; Perissodactyla; Equidae.
CUUGCAGGAUCCAGGGGACCAGCUCCCCCAGCCAGCUUCCUGCCCGCUCCUUCAAUCAAAUGGACUAAAAGCCUUGCUGAUAAAAGUAAUAAUUCAAAUACCUGCUACUAUGUACCAAAAGGCAACUAAGUACCUGGUGUUGGCUAGAAAAAAAUUAAAGCUGAAACUUACACUAAUCAAUAUAUUCUUAAAACUUCAAAACUUUAAAAUUUGAAGUGCUCAGCCUCACAAAACAAAAAGUAAUGACUUUCAACAGCCUCAUCUGGGAAGAGGAGCAGUAAAUUCUUAACUCCGAGAUAGUCAUUCGGUGGCUACCAGAUAUGGAAAGAAGAGGGGAUACAAGAUGAAACGGAGCACAACACAUUCCAACCAAGACACCUCCUAUCUUAAGGGAAAGGAAUGGAACUCAAGCAAAUAAAAUGGCAAGGCAGAUGAGCUCAAGGAGCAUAUUUGAUGCGGCUUUUUUCUAUUGAGGUUAUCCCCAGUCCGCUGACUUCUGUGAUGAUAUAAUAAGACGAACACGGGAUUUUCCUAAAAGAGUAAUCAAAGCAGCAUUUAACAAAUACAUAUACAACAAAAUAGUAAGAAAAGAAGAAAGAAAUUAGAAAACAAGACCAAAAAAGAAAGAAAGAAAGAAAGAAGAGAGAAAGGAAGGAAAGAAGGAAGGAAGAAAUUAGAAAGCAAGACCAAGGAAAGGAGAAGAUGUGUGUGUUCCUUUAUGGUGACUUUCUCCACAUGCCUUUCAACACCUUCCAUCUGUAGAGAAGCCAACCUGCUCAAGUCAAUACUUGUCAUCCUCGAGCACAAGAGGAACUGAGACUCUCGAGCCAACAGCCUGCAAGGAACUGAAGCCUGCCAACAACCAUGUGACCGAGCUUGGAAGCUAGUGCUUCAGCCUCAGUUGAGUCUUGAGAUAACUGCAGCCCCAGCGAACAGCUUGACUGCACCCUCCUGAGAGAUCUUGAGUGAAAGGUACCCAGUUAAGCUGCUCUUGAAAUUCCUGAUUCAAAGAAAUUCUGAGAUAAUACCCGUUUG